Molecule: transfer RNA, 71 nt
Filed under: Winogradskya humida
Lineage: Bacteria; Bacillati; Actinomycetota; Actinomycetes; Micromonosporales; Micromonosporaceae
Description: Actinoplanes humidus tRNA-Gly
Source: RNAcentral
CCGUGAUGUAGCGGGGCAGCGCGGGUGGCUUCCGGCCGCUACGAUGAUUGAUCGACAUCGAUCAUCGCGGG